GCCGCGGGAUUAGAGUUUGAUCCUGGCUCAGAACGAACGCUGGCGGCAGGCUUAACACAUGCAAGUCGAGCGCCCCGCAAGGGGAGCGGCAGACGGGUGAGUAACGCGUGGGAACAUACCCUCCGGUUCGGAAUAGCUCAGGGAAACUUGGAUUAAUACCGGAUACGGCCUAGCGGCGAAAGAUUCAUCGCCGGAGGAUUGGCCCGCGUCUGAUUAGCUAGUUGGUGGGGUAAUGGCCCACCAAGGCGACGAUCAGUAGCUGGUCUGAGAGGAUGAUCAGCCACAUUGGGACUGAGACACGGCCCAAACUCCUACGGGAGGCAGCAGUGGGGAAUAUUGGACAAUGGGCGCAAGCCUGAUCCAGCCAUGCCGCGUGAGUGAUGACGGCCUUAGGGUUGUAAAGCUCUUUCGCUAGGGACGAUAAUGACGGUACCUAGACAAGAAGCCCCGGCUAACUUCGUGCCAGCAGCCGCGGUAAUACGAAGGGGGCUAGCGUUGUUCGGAAUUACUGGGCGUAAAGCGCGUGUAGGCGGGCGUUUAAGUCAGGGGUGAAAUGCCAAGGCUCAACCUUGGAACUGCCUUUGAUACUGAAUGUCUUGAGUCCGGGAGAGGUGAGU
This 617-nucleotide ribosomal RNA is filed under the name uncultured bacterium. RNAcentral describes it as "bacterial SSU rRNA". It matches the Rfam family "Bacterial small subunit ribosomal RNA", at positions 1 to 662 of the family's 1533-position model. The record is from RNAcentral.